Molecule: long non-coding RNA, 14435 nt
Organism: Cervus elaphus (red deer)
Lineage: Eukaryota; Metazoa; Chordata; Mammalia; Artiodactyla; Cervidae
Exons: 3
Source: RefSeq, a predicted model, not a curated record
CAUAUAAGGUAAAAGGCAGAGGGGUCUUUGCGGCCAGGGAGCAGCGGGCAAGGGGCUAAGGGGAGGGGGGCCCAGUGCCAGCUGUUUAAAAGUACCCCUGUGGCAGUGGCAGUGAGGGGUGCCAGAGGCCCAGUGAAGUUAGUUGAGAAGCAGUGAUACCUCCAACCAUCCCCCAAACGGGCUGGCCCACAUCUCCAGGCCACAAGGAGCCACACCUGGAUGGACCCCAAGAGAGGCAAGGGCACUGGCUGGUGGGAGCUACCCCUUUUCAACCCUCACGCUGACACAGCAAACACCCCAGAGAAGGGCCUCCUGAGGACCUGAGGAGGGCAGGCGGCGGGUUCCCUGGACACAGAACUGUGAGUGCCACCCCUCCCCACCCACUGGCACCCACAACCUCCCCUCCACACCCCGCUGGCAAUAAACUCCCCAUUCCAUCCUCAGAAUGACCAUGAACGCAGGCCUCAGAAUGGGAAGUGUUAACAAGGAAGGCCCUGUUGAUUGAUGGGCUGAGGACAAGUCAGGGCUGUUGGGUUGGGGUCGUAGGUGAAAAGAAAGGGGAACCAAGGAAGGGAAAACCCACCAGAAGCCAAGAAUCCACCCCCAUCCCAUGCUCCCUACAAACAGACAGACACAGAACCUGCAUGCUACCAAAACCGAAGGACUUGAGGGCGCUGUGGAGGAUGGUGGUCAUCUUCCCUGGAAAGGAGUAAAUGCGGUUGGAUUCUGAAAGAAGGUACAUGUGGGGCUGUCAGGUUGUCAGCCUCUGAGAACAGAAGCACUCUCAGGGCUUUGGGAGGGUCAGGUGUGCGCGCGGACUCACAGUGCUUGGAACACGGUGAAGCUCUAGAAACCCAAGCGGUUGUGUUCACCGUCCAUCACAUUCUUCCCACGCUUACAGUUGUUCGUGGAGCAGGCAGGGUUAGGGACCAGCUCCAUAAGACAGGUGGAGAAACUGAGGCCCAGGGUGGCGAAGGGACUACCACUCAGAGCCAUUCAGUCCCAAGUGCCCAGGGGGUUUCUGGCACAAGAUCUCACAAAGAUGAAAAAAGAGGAAGAUUUGGAAGUGAACAGGGGAGGCAAGACUCCGAGAAGGAGCUGACAAGCCAAAGACAGGGUGCCCCAGGCCUGGCUUAUAUAACACAGCACACCUGUUUACCUCCGCACACCGCACACGUGCGUGCAAACGUGAGCCCCAGCACAGCACACACACCUGGCCCUCAUUCACUAGCAAAUGAACCUUGGAGACUGGGUCCAAACAAAUUGGAUUAGGAGGGCUGCAGGCGCCUCCUCCCCCACGCCGUCGGCUCCGACACUGAGCAGGCCUGCAGAGCAGCCAGCUGCGGUCUCUCGGCCAAGCUGACAGGUCGGCCUCCUCAGUCCCCUCUCCCCACCCCCCCGGCCCCGGGAAGGGGGCCUGGGUCCCAAAGAAUGCCAUGAUGAUGGAUGGGCUGAGGGAGGUUCCAGGGCUAGCUCAAGAGCACACAGGAUGUUCGUGCUUAUGCGAGGCUCAUUUCUGAACAGUUUCCAGCAAACCAGCCCCACCUCCCUUGCCUCCCUCCCCUCCGGCAACCUCUCCCACGGUCACCCGGUCACUGCUGCCAGAGCCCAGACCCCGAGCAGAUCUACCCCCCAACUCUUGGUCCCACAGCUGGACUGAGCAGGAACUGGUCACUCAGGAGGCAAUGCCCUGGGGCUGAGACGCAGGCACUUCAGAAGGGAGAUGAAAUCAGCGAACUGAGACAACGCCACCAUAAAAGUGGCAUCUCUGUGCUUUCUCAUCCAUUGUUUUAUUUGAUCCUCAGAAUGUGUCAGGGAGUUAGGAGGUUGUGCCCAUAAUACAGACGUGACUACUGAGCUUCAUUCAUUCAGUGAUCCCAUGGCCCUCCUGUCCUGAGCCCUGAGUCUGCACCAGGCCCUAUGUGGAGUGCUAGGGAAUAACUUGCAGCAUCUGCCCGCAUGGCUUAAUGGAACAGUCACCUUUCGCCCAGAUCACUGGGCACUGGGAGCCCCCCGAUAUUCCUGGGGAGCAGCUCCAGCAGAAUCCCUUUUCCAUAUGGCAUGUGUGAGCAGUUGAAAUUAUCACCAAGAGAAGCCUUAGCAAUCAGCCCAUUCAGAACACAGAUCCUGAAGUCAGACAUCCCCAAGUUCAAAUCCUGCCUUGCUUUCCUUUUAACUGGAUGGCUGUGGUCUUAGUCUUUUGAAGCCUGUUUGCCCACCUGUAAGAUGGAAAAUACAGAAGCUCCCACCUUGUGAGACUGACUGUGAGGACUAAUUCUUAUUUUCCUUACGCUUAUUCGACACAGGGAGAAACAGGGGUCUGGAGAGUGCAGGGCUCGGCCAGGGUCACACUGGGGGUUAAGUCAUAACCAGGUGGAUCCCUGCCCCCUGCCCCCUGCCCCGCUUCACCCUAAGCAGCCCAGAGCCACAAUAGCUGGCCAGUUUGUGCAGGGUCCACAGGGACAUGUCCUGGGUCCUGCCCUCCUCCUUGAGCCCUGCCCAGCCUCUACAGCACCAGAGUCCCAGGUGACCAGCAGUGGCCCCCCGCCCGCAGAGACGGCGGAGGGUGGGGGCGCUUAGCAGCAGGCUCCCAGCCCAGAGCAGCCUGGCCAUAUAAGGGAAGGAGCCAGGAAGGUCUCCUCGCUCAGGCCUGGCGAGAAAAUCCAGACAGCCACUGUUUAUUUUCUCCUUCCCAGCCUCCCCAGAGCUUCCCAACAGAAGACACAGGCUGCCCCCCGGGGCCAAGCGACAUUUCCUGAAGACAGUGGGGAACAGGGAAGGAAAAACAGUCCAUCCUCUGGGAGUAGGAGGAUGUGAACAGCCAGCACCAGGUAAGAUUCUGCCAGGUAAGAUUGUGAGGCCACCUGUUCGACUGACUCUUUUGAUGGAAUGAGAAACAGGGAGACAGUAAGAAGUGCUUGUGAGAAGGGAUCACACUACUUGAGUCUCCCUAGUGGGACCCAUCUCCUGACUGGGGACCCAGAGCAAGGAGGGGCCUCUUGUGGGGUAAGUGGAACAGGAGAGCUAUAGACCCCCUUCUCAGUGAGACCUCAUUUGAAAGAGAAAUGGGGUCAAGGUCAGCUCUGUCUGCCUCCCAGCAAGGAUGCAAAACUCAAGGGAGGAGUUCCUGGAGCCAGACAGCCAGCAGAAUGACACCUUUCCUGCACUCCUGCACCUCUGCCCUCCUCCCAGUCCAGCUGCAGCACCUUCUUCUCCAGGAAGCCCUCCUAGCUCCCCCAGGGAGGAGGAACCUAAGCCCUCAGCAGUCCUCUCUGGGCUCUCUCUUAGGCCACUUGGGUCUGUCCCCUAUUCAACUCACCAAGGGCAUUUAUCCUUCCAUCUCAGCCUGACUGUGCUCCUCCAGGGUAAGGACCAUAUCAGAUGCAGGCCUGUCCCCUCGGCACAUAGAAGACACAAUUGGUUUGCUAAAUGGAUGUAUGAAAUGGUUAGACCCUGUCCUCGACCCUGACAGACUGGUAUAGUAGUCAGGGGAGGAGAUGUUCAGCACGGAGGUUAAAAGUCAUGAUCCUGAGGCGGCCGUUCUGAUAGGAACCCAAGCUGGGCUCCCAGCUCUGUGCCCUUAGAAAAUCCCCUUCUCACGGAACUUUGGGAUGCACAGGGAUUAGCACAAUGAAAACAUUCGAAACAUGACCGUUCUUUUUACCAUCAGCGUCACUAUGGUCUUUCUGGAGACAAAGGAACAGAACCAGGCAGCCUAUAGCCACAGAGGACACGGAAGCAAAUACCUUCCCCUGGUCAAAGGCCUCAACCUCUGGCCCUGCGUCAGAGUUUCCCACAGGAGCGUGGGACUGCCUCCCAUCCAUUUCCUGUCUCUACACCCAGGAGAGCUGCUAUCUUUGCAGCAAUCCUCUGAGCCCAAUGGGGUGUGCUGGAAAUAGCCGCCAAUUCCCCUAGUACAAGCAGGGCUGUGACCCUGGAACCGUCUCCUCCCCUUCCUGGCUCGCCAUGUGCAGUGAUAAGGCUCCCCCGACCACCGCACAGCUGUUCUGUAGAUUAAGCAUGGUGGGGUGGUUUUUCAAAUGGCAGGCACUCAGAUGCCACCCCCCUCUUUUUUUUUCAGAUGCCCCCUUUUUAAGUUUUGCCAUAUCUGCAAACAAUCAUAAGAUUUUAAAUUUUAAGGUGUCUUUUUUAAUACCUAAAUAUAAAUAGGAAACUAAACACUGUCCAUAAUUAGGAGAUAAUAAAGAUAAGAGAGACAGUAAAUAUGCAGCAGUGCUCUGGACUUGAGGGAGAUAAACAGGAGCCUGAAAAGUGUCAGAGACAGGAUAGCACCAAACUGAGGUUCUUUCCCCCACCCCGGGAAAACAGAAGGACUGGAAGCAAACUGACAGGGAACAGCCUGGGUCACUGUGUUUUCCAAAGUCAGUGCUCAGGCCACAUAUGCAGCAAAAUUGCGAGAAGCCAAAAGUGGUCAGGUGAAAGAGCUUUGGAAAGAGUCCCGCACCGAGGAAUGCAGGGGCCUGGCCUAUCAGCUGGCCUCCCAGCAGCAAAGGCUCACUUCUGGGGCACGACCCUCCCUGGCUUCUUACUGAAACCUCCACAUUGGCUAGGCCAGGCGUCUUCUCUUGCAGAGCGAGUGGGAGCAGUCCGAGAGUGGAGUAGACAGGCUGUGGGCUGUCCGGGACCCCCCAGGCUGGGUCCUGUUGUUGGAAUCACUCCCCAGCCAAAUGCAGUUUGGAAGAAGUUCCUACUCAUUAUUGAGGAAGGCAGUUCCUUGGGUGGGAAUACCUCAUAGAGGGGCUGACCUGCCCCAAGUAGCAGACCAAAGGAAAACACUCUGCUGUUUGGGGCCUGAUGUCAGAUUUCUGUCCGAGGCAUAAGAAAGUGGAAGUGAAAGUGAAGUCGCUCAGUCGUGUCCGACUCUUUAAGACCCCAUAGACUGUAGUCUACCAGGCUCCUCAAUCCAUGGAAUUUUCCAGGCAAGAGCACUGGAGUGGGUUGCCAUUUCCUUCUCCAGCAUCUUCCCAACCCAGGGAUCAAACCCAGGUUUCCCACAUUGAGGGCAGACACUUUACCCUCUGAGCCACCAGGGAGGCUAAUUUUUGAAGGAUGUGAGUGUUUUCCUGCUCUCUCCCAGCCCUGAGAAAAGGCUGCCAGCCCCCUCCGCCCUCCAGACAUCCCUGAAAGUACAUGUCAUCCAGCAUCAAGACCAUCACAAUGGUACAAGCAGUGCAAGAGGGCUGCCCUGAGAUCUUGGCGGGACAGGAGAAGGGGGUACAGGGCUCUAUCUGCUCACUCAGAGGUUCCCACCUAAGCCAGAUCUUAAGAGGAAAACGAAUGAUCUACAUGGCCAUUCAGUCAUCUACCAGCAGCACUCCCUGGGGUCCUUUACCACGUACAAAAGCCUCCACAAGGCCCGGGGAUCCCCACCACGAACAAACAUGGGUGCCGUCCUCAGGGAACUGGAGAUCUACCCCAAUCAGACCCAGAGGCAAAGAGCUCUGACACUGGAGAGAAUGCAGCUGAAGAACAUGAUUCAGUCACUCGGACAACACAUAUUAAGCAUCUACCAUCACAAAUGCAAUAAAGGAUGAGAAAGAGGGCAGAGAGGACUUCCUUGGUGGUUCAGUAGUGGAGAAGCUGCCCUGCAAAGCAGGGGACUCAGGUUCAAUCCCUGCUCAGGGAACUAAGAUCCCACAUCCCACCGAACAGCUGAGCUCUCAUGCCACAACUAGCGAGACCAUGUACCGCACGAAGACUCCAUGUGCCGAAACUAAGAUCUAAUGCCAGUCAAAUAAAUAAUUUUUUUAAAAAGGAAAGAGGAAAAAAUAAAUAAAUAAGAAAGAGGGCAAAGGAUGUGUGAGGAUGUGGACCAGGGAGUUCUGAUGUCUGAAAGUCAGAGAGGGCUUCACAGAAAAAGUGGCCAUUUAAGUAGAGACUCAUCCCACCAAGAGGAGACGGGCAGGGGAGUGAGGGGGAGUAACAUGGUUCCUAGGAGCCCCAAAGUGGUGGGCACAGGACUCCCUGGAGGAGUGGGAAAAGGGGGCAAGGGCCCAAGAGGAAUAUCCCAGCUGGGCCAGAUAGGGCAGGACUAUAGCCUUUUGUGAAGGUUUUAGAAUUCAGCCAGAGGGAGACCUUUCACCAUUUUAAGCCCAGGAGAAAUAUGGGCACAUUUGCAUUUUGAGAAAUCAUUCUGAGAGGAUGGCUGGGAAGGAUGGGUGGGAAGUCGGUGGGAGUAGAAGCAAGGGAAGCCAGGUAGGAGGCUGAAGCAAAUAUUUGAGGAUAUAAAGUACCAUGAAUGUGCCAUUUGGCUGGGAUACACCAAGCAUAAAGGUGAGGAGGUAUGGGGUCAAAAAGGUAGAACAUCACCCAGGGUGAGGGGUGAUGGGGCGUUAGAGGGUUCUUCUGGAAUGAUGAAAUGUUCUAAAAUUGAUUGUGGUGAUGCUUCUGCCACUCUGUGUUGUUGCAUUCUUGCUCGGUCGUAUCCGACUCUUUGUGAGCCCAUGGACUGUAGCCCGCCAGGCUCUCUUCCAUCCAUGGAAUUUUCCAGGCAAGAAUACUGGAGUGGGUUGCCAUUUCUUCCUCCAGUGGAUCUUCCCGACCCAGGGAUGAAACCCUCAUCUCCUGCAUCUCCUGCAGUGCAGGCAGAUUCCGUCCCACUGAGCCAUCCGGGAAGCCCAACUCACCAUUCUGUGACUGAACUAAAAAACCAUUUCAUUGUGUAAUUUGAAUAGAAGGAUUAUAUCUCAACAAAACUGUUUAAAAAGAAAAGGAAGGGUGAAGCUUGGUCCCAGAGGGCUCACAUGCCAGGCGGAGGACAGGAAGCACACCGGUGUAGCUGCAACAGCCUCCGGGGCAGGGGCUGGAGGGAGGAGCCGAGGCCCCUCUAAUGCCCCUUCUCCUGCCUAGGGUGGACUCCCUGCCAUCGACCCCUGGUGCAGAGCGGCAUGGCGUCCUGUCUCCCAGCCUGAGGUGCAGUGCUGCAUCUCUGGUCAGUUGGGAGUCUGAGAUGAAGCACUGUAGCUCGGGAAGGGAGAAGUUGUUCUGCAGCCGUCGCCAGAAGUGGUAAGUGGUAUGGUUCCUGUAGGCACCAGGAAGGAUGGGAGUGUUUCCAUUCUCCAGACUGUCCACUGAGGAAGUAUUGAACUUGAGUCCUAUCUGUGCCACUAUCUGCUUCAUGAUUCUGGGCAAGUCCUGACUCCUCUGUGCACCGCAGUUUGUUCAUCUGUGAUAUGAGGUUUUGGAGCAUUCGGUGGUAGCCAUUACGUAGUACCCUGACUCUGCUUUCUCCUGAGCCCCUGGCAGACACAGCUGAAUCAGUCAAGGCAUCCUUUCUUAAAGCAUUCAGAUGUGGCUUCAGAAUCCUCCUUAAUGCUAAGUCCUAGAGAGCUACUAUUGAUUCAAAGCUGAAACACUCAAAAAAAAAAAAAAAAGCUGAAACACUUCAUCAUUUGUGAACUGGUCAAUUCCUAAAAACUCUUUCAGACUAAAGACAAAGUCCUGGGCUCUGAGUCUAGCUCUUUACUCUUUGAGGUGUGGCCUAAACUAAUCCAGGCAUCUCCCAAAUAUCUGAUCCCUCUCAGGGGCUUCAGACUAGUCAGAAAUAGCAGAGGAAAACCACUGGGCUAAGCACAAUUUUAUUUAACCUUCCUACAAGCUUGGGAGGUGGAUUUUAUUGACCCAUUUUCCAGAUAAGAAAACCGAGGCUCAGGUAAGCAACUUGCCCAAGGUCACACAUAAAUUAUAUUGAGCUGGGCUUGGAACCUAAUCUGUCUGCCUUCAGAUUCAUGUUUUUACCCACUGCGUGUGACUUGGGAACCUGGGAUUGGGGGAGCAGGAGGAGAACAUAAUAAAUCCUAUUCUAGUCUUGUCCUUACAUCCUGGGUCAUUUUUAGCAAAGACAGACUGAGACAUUUUCCAAUAAUCCUAUAGACUUCUUUCCUCUUCUUCCCACCCCCCACCAUUGUAUUUAUCUCACCUUUCAAGUAGGUCCUAUACCAUCCCAUUUUAUAACUGGGGAAGACUGAGGUUAAAUGAGUUGCUGGAGGUCACCUGCAAGGAAGGUGCCAAACAGAGACUGGGAACCAGAACUGUCCAGGUGGUUUCAAGUAGAACCCUCCCUCUGGCUGGAGACUCAGGAAUACACACAAUCCAUGGCAACUGAAGAGGGGGGUGGGGUGUUACCAGAUGAUUUCUGGUCGACAACAUGGCCUCUGACUACAGGAAGGUACUUUCCAGGGCCAUUGAAGUUCCAGUCACUACCCCCUCCCCUGAAGCAAUCAUCCACAUCCCGCCAGACAUGGUGGCCGCACUGGCUUCUGCAGAUGGGGCUGGAUGCAGAAGAAAACUCCAGCUGGUCCUUAGGGAUAUGGCAGGGCCUUGGUGCUGAAGGCCACUAUCUCACCUUGUCCUCACGGUCCAGUUUUCCCAGGAAUCCCUUAGAUGCUAAGAUGGGGAUUCCUGGAAAUACUGUUCUUGAGGUCAUGGUUUAACAGCUGGAUUCGCCUCCUUCCCACCCCAAGUUGCCCCCGCGGGACUUGGGCUCAAGCACAUCAUGAGGCCACGUGGAAGGCCAUGAGCUGGAGGUAAGAGGACUUGAGGACUGUGUUCUUGACCUUUAAACUGCUUUUCUUUCCAUUUUGUCCAUUUCGCAACAUCCUGUGAGGCUGGAAUGGGAACUUCACCUCUGUCCUACUCUUGGGAAAUUUGUCCAGACACUCAGCUGAGCAGUGGUUGAACCAGGACGCCAUAAAGCUUGUGUCUCUUUCCACCUCCCCCAACCCCCAUCCCAGUUCCCAGCAUCCCAAGCAGUGGGGGGGGUGGGGUCACAAUAUCAAAUCCACAUUAGUGAUAAACAAAUAAAUAUAUGUGAAUUUAUUUUAAAAGUUCACUAGAUCAGUUAACGUAAACUAAAAAUCUGUAAGUUUUAGUUCGAUUUGGAGUAUCAGAAAAAUGUUAUAAUUUUUCAUUAAGGUAAAGACAAAAAAGCUCAGACUGCCCUCUUGUGGUGACGCCUGCCACAACCCUGGAGAACCCAGGAACACUGGGUUGUCCUACACACACACACACACACACACACUCCUUUUGAACCAGCUUAAGACCCAUCCAUCAUUUCAUUACCAAUGAUGUCUCCAUCACUUACAGUUUAAUGUUACUCACAUUACCUGGCUUUGUCCUCAAAACUCCUGAAGGUCAGUGAGAUGGUGAAGUGACGAGCCCCUGGUCACCCAGAUAGCAUUAGGCAGAGCGAGGAUCUGUUCCGAGUUCAGUGACUCAGCCAAAAGUAAAAACUACAAAAAUAAAAAAUAAAAGGAAGACAUCUGAAUAGGUGUAGAAAAUGCUGGCUGAAUGCUAGAGACCUGAUGUAGUCCAGGUGUUAAUACUAGAACUUUUCAAAAAAUCUUCCCAGUGCUUUUUAUGGAGUCUGUAGUGACAAGAGGUGCCAUGACCCCAGGAUCCUUACUUUGGGGUCUAGUAGCCAUGUUCCCAGGGACCAGGUGGCUCCCACUUAUGUAUCAGGCUGUCUCUCUUAACAGGCCAUGCUGCAGACAAUUUAUAAAGUAUCAGAUUCCCGUCUCUCUCCUCCUCAGACACUGGAGCUGGCCUGACCAUGAAGAAAUCUGAUUUGCUCCAAAUGAUAAUAAUAUCUUCCACUUACUGAGUAUUUGCAACUUACCAGGCACUGUGUUAAACACUUUCACAAGCAUUGUCCCAUUCAAUCCUCACAACAACUCCGUGAGAUAGGUUCUAUCACUUUUUCUACUUCACAGACGAGGCAGCCAAGGCACAGAGACGUUAAGAGACUUGUUUAAGAUCACACAGCUAACAAGUUGUAAGGCUGAGUCAAAUCAAGUCUGUGUUUAUACCCGUCACCUGCCCUUGCCCCCCUCUCUCCCCUUUGGCCUGGUCUGGCUGGUGGAGCUGUCUCCUGUGGCUUCCCCUGCGGCAGAUGGUAAAACAAGCCUUCAGGGAGACCCAAGCAGUCCCUCCUGUGUGCUGUGACAAUAAUAAAGUGGGAGACCCUUGACUGUGUCCUGUGUCUUCCUGGGAAUGUGAAAGGAGGGGAGGGGAGGUGAAGGCAGCCUAACAGCCUGUAUUAGUUCUCUAGGGCAUUCGUAACAACGUGCUACAGAAUGGGUGGCUUAAACAAUAGAAUGUUAUUUUAUCAUAGUUCUAGAGCCUGGAAGUCUAAGAGCAAGGUGUCAGUCAGCAGGGCUGGUGUCCUCCGAGGCCUCUCUGUCUUGUAGACAGCCAUGUUCUCCCUGUGUCUUCACUGUGCGUGUCAGUGUCUCAAUCUCCUCAGACAAGGACACCAGCCCUGUUGGAUUAGGGCCCACCCACAGGUCUCAUUUAACAGAAAUUAUUUCUUUAAAGACCUACCGCCAAAUAUAGUCAGAGUCUGAGGUACUGGGGGUUAAGGCUUCAUCAUGAACACAGUAGGGGGACACAAUCCAGCCCACAGCACAGCCCCAGUUGAGGUAACCCUAAAGUGACUUCACACUGCUGGACAUUUUCAGGGGCCAGCUACACAGCAACCAGGACCCACACCAGGAUAGUCAGAAGCUCUAGGAAGGUGCCAGGCUGUGUCUGAGAACACCCACCAAAGAGGGAGGGGAGGGGGAACGUCCUACAAGGUGAGGUCCCCUCAGGCGGGGGCCAAGGCACAGUCUGAGGAGCCAGGCUACACGGCAGCCUCUCCCCUUCAGUCCCAAAGGUGUGACUGACCAGGUGGAGGAGGCAAGACAGGCUCUGAAAUCACACCUCACACAGUGCCAGGAAUCAGAGUGAAUGUAACAUCAGCUGCACCACAGGCAUCAUGCCCAACUUUGUGGACAUUUUAAACACACUUCUCUACCUUUGGCACUGACCCUCUAAACUUCGAUACAUUCUGAGGGGGGAAAAAAUAAACAUGACUUCCUACCUGCAGAUUCCCAGAUGCCCAGGGCCUCCCCUCAACGCUCCUUUGAGCCCCAAAACAAGGCCUGCACGCCUGCGCCACACGGCAGAGGAGCCCGAGGUCCCACAAGGCCCAGGGCAGCAGCUGGGGAGCCACAGGGACGAGGAAGAGGCAGGACCGAGGGAGAGCUCCCCUGCUACCACCCAGCCGUCCACCACACCCCACGCCCCGAUGAGCUUUGGAGCGUCAGUCACUGGGGCCUCCUCCAAACUCACGGGGCUGGUCCUGCUGAAGUCCUUCUAGAACUUUCCCUCACACCCCUGGGGAAUUAUUGCUAAGAUGCGGCUUCCUGACUCCCACAGGCGGGUUCUGCUCUGUGGUUUGAGAUUUCCCAGGAGUGGAGGGUGGGAGCAACAACAAAUGUCCAGCAGAGGUGUGUCCUCUCCAUUUACCUCUGCGAGCCUUCUUGACUGGGUGCCCCUAUGCGCCUGCUGCUGGGGACACAGCAGUGAACGAGACAACAGAGAACUCCGACGUGUGAGGACUCGCUCACACACACACACACAGGUGUGAGGUCUCGUGCUCCUCUUCCAGAAUUUCAGCCUCGAGACCUCUUCUGAACAGAGCCAUAACGUGGUAACAGUCUCUCAAAUACGUCCCGACAUGCCCAGGCAAGCCAUGGGCCUCUGUCCUGUGGGGAGAAGGAACUGGCACCCCCUGACAAGCCUGGUGACAGAUCUUCCAGCAGUGAGGACCUGCUGCUGCUGCUGCUAAGUCACUUCAGUCGUGUCCGACUCUGCGACCCCAUAGACGGCAGCCCACCAGGCUCCCCCCGUCCCUGGGAUUCUCCAGGCAAGAAUACUGGAGUUGGUUGCCAUUUCCUUCUCCACUGCAUGAAAGUGAAAAGUGAAAGUGAAGUCUCUCAGUCGUUUCCGACUCUUAGCGACCCCAUGGACCGCAGCCUACCAGGCUCCGCAGUGAGGACCAGCACCUCCUUUUACUGACAGGGCAGCCAGGACCAGGUGCCUCCUGGGGGCGUGUCCAAGAAGGCGGCGUGACGCACGCAAAAAGGAGGCGGUGCCCUCUUGUGGCCCACCCUGGAAAGACAGGCUAACUUAGAAGGACUUUUUGUUAUUAUCAAUGACCAUUGUCUAACAUAAUUGCAUAGGAUUCUGCAUCUCAAAAGGGGGUUUCCCAGGUGACGCUAGUGGUCAAGAACCCGCCUACCAAUGCAGGAGACAAAAGACAUGUGUGUUUCAUUCCUGGGUGGGGAAGAUCCCCUGGAGGAGAGCAGGGCAAUCCCCUCCAAUAUUCUUGCCUGGAGAAUCCCAGGAACAGAGGAGCCUGGCGGGCUACAGUCCAUGCGGUCGUAAAGGGAGACACGACUGAAAUGACUUAGCACGUAUGCACACUGCAUCUCAAAACACUUCUCAUCUCGUGAUCUCCCUUGAUCCUUGUUUUAAGAAGGGCAUUCCAAAAUUGCUACAGGCUAAGGUCCGAGGAUGCUUUUUGGAGAAGGAAAUGGCAACCCACUCCAGUAUUCUUGCCUGGAGAAUCCCAUAGACAAAGGAGCCUGGUGGGCUACAGUCCUUGGGGUUGUAAAGAGCUGGACAUGACUGAGCGACUAACACAUGGUCCGAGGAUGCAGGCAAAGGAGAUGAAAAGGACUGCUCUGAUCCUGAGGGAUCCAGAGCCAGAAGCUGAGAGGCAGACAGUCAGUCUAGUCCAGGGAAGGUUGCACGCCUCCAGGAGUCCUAGGGGCCUGGCCAGCAGCCUGCGCAAGCCAAUCUCCUUGCUGUGAAAGGAGAGUGGCCAGAGAGGGGACUCAGGCCUGUCUGGGCAUUUCAGACCUAGACAGCCCCGCUCCAGGUCAUGGAAGCAGCAAAGUGAAAAUCAACCCAGGAGGGAAGGGAUAGGUCUGAAUUUGCUCCUUCUAUGUAAAAUAUGGGGAUGGCACCCAAAUGGCCUCACUUUGGGGACAUCAAGAGCCAUGUCAGUUGCACUCCAGGCUGUGGGAGCCUGGAAGGAACCAUAGCUAUAUUAAUUUAGAAACUGUCCCCCUUGCCUUAAUCCAUAUACCACUCUGAAGUUCCAAAACUGUUUCCUUUGUCUGCUCAUGCCACAAUUUCCGACAGAUGGGCAUGCACAUCAAUUUUCAUACCUCCAGUGACAAGGACCUCACCAUCUUACCAGCCAGGCUAUGUCCUUGAUCAGCAGGGAUUGUUAGGAGGUCCUUCUCUUGGAGUAAAAGCUCUGUCAUUUUUCCCUAGCUCCUUUGCUGCCCACAGAUGUGGACUAAAAAAGUUGCACAACUUGAGAGUUGUGAGUGAAGUUUUAUUUGGGGCAAAAUGAGGACUGCAGCCUGGGAGGCAGCAUCUCAGAUAGCUCUGAGAGACUGCUCCAAAGCGGCAGUGGGGGAAGGCCAAUAUACAAGGUUUUGGUGAAGGGGGAGUUCAAUACCAUGAAGUACUCAUUUUACAAAAGGUUUUUUUGUUAGUCAUAAGGAUCUGAUGUCACUAUGAAGGGAUUUAGUACUUCUCUAGAUAUGAGGAGAUGUAAGGAUUGAGAUCAUAAAAAUCUGUUCCUAAAAACAUUCAACUAUCGAAAGACCUGUCCCACCAGAUUCCCUGGAGCAGAGUGUCUCUCUCUACCCUCAACUCCCUCAGGGAUUGUUGAAGGUCAACAGUGGUAGCAGCAUGAGUUUCAAUCUCCUUAGAGGCAGAUGGCAAAUGCCUUUGUUGUUCAGUCCUUUGCGAUGCUCUUGGUAAGUGCCAAUUUGCAGUUGACACAGAGAUGUACAAACAGUGGCUCUGGCUUCUUUCCUGUCCCCCAAGAUAAACAUGCCCAGGGCUCCCAGUGGGCCUCUGAGACUGAAUUUAAGUUUGUUUCCCUGCCUGCACAAUCAAGACCCCUCCUUUGCGGUCAGGACGUCCUUUGAGAGCCUAAUACAAACGAUCAACCAUCUCCAAGAAAAUAGCAAUACUCACUACUUUAGAGAGUCCAUAGGCCCUUUCUUUAAUGCAUGGCAGUUUCCAGAAAGUGGUUGGCCUUUAGUACUAAUUUAUGUAUUCAACAAAUGUUUACAGAGAACCUAGCACAUGCCAAGCACAGUUUCUGGUGCCCAGGAUGGAAGGGUGAUUAAAACAAAUCUCAGCUCCAAGAAUUUACAAUCUGGAGCAGGAGAGAGACACAAACAAAUCAGCCACCACAUCUUUAAUUUUCUAUUGUGACAAAUUCAAGGAAGAAAAUGGAGAGUGCUACAAUGAGAAGUGGCAGGAUUAGGAGAGCUGUUUUAAAUUGGAAGGUCAGGGAGGGUCCUGGGGGGUGGGAUGGGGCUGACAUUUAAGUAGAGAUCAGAAGACAUUGGGAUGGAAGGGGGCGUGGUCAGGCAGGAGCAAGGAUGGGUGUCAAGACUCUGAGGCGAGGGACUUCUCUGAUGGUCCAAUGGCUGAGACUUCGCGAUCCCAAUGCGGGGGGCCCGGGUUCAAUCCCUGGUCAGGAAACUAGAUCCCACAAGCUACAACUAAGAGUUCGAAUUCUGCAACUAAAGAUCCGCAUGCCUCAAUGAAGAUUGAAC